UACGUAGGGUGCGAGCGUUAAUCGGAAUUACUGGGCGUAAAGCGUGCGUAGGCGGUUCGUUAAGUUCGUUGUGAAAGCCCUGGGCUCAACCUGGGAAUGGCAAUGGAAACUGGCGGGCUGGAGUAUGGCAGAGGGGGGUGGAAUUCCGCGUGUAGCAGUGAAAUGCGUAGAGAUGCGGAGGAACACCGAUGGCGAAGGCAGCCCCCUGGGCCAAUACUGACGCUCAGGCACGAAAGCGUGGGGAGCAAACAGG
This 253-nucleotide ribosomal RNA is filed under the name uncultured bacterium. RNAcentral describes it as "partial 16S ribosomal RNA". It matches the Rfam family "Bacterial small subunit ribosomal RNA", at positions 524 to 776 of the family's 1533-position model. The record is from RNAcentral.